Rhineura floridana is the source of this 2948-nucleotide long non-coding RNA. RefSeq lists it as uncharacterized. The transcript is spliced from 5 exons. Lineage: Eukaryota; Metazoa; Chordata; Lepidosauria; Squamata; Rhineuridae. The record is from RefSeq and is a predicted model, not a curated record.
CGAAAGUAGAGCUUUUUGGUUAUGCUGCAACAGACUGUUCAGUAAAGUUUGCUUCUUCUAAACAGUGUCUGGAGUUCAUUUCAACUCUUGCAAAUAUUGCAUGGUAUCAGAAGACUACCUAAAAACAUAAGGCAGUGAAAAAUGGACCAGCUGAACCCUCCAGGAACGUUGGUGUUUGAAGGAAACGCAGCAGAGAACUGGAGAAGAUUGGAAGCAAGGGUUUGAAUUGCGCUGCGUUGCAAGUGGAGCAGAUAAGAAAGAUGAGACCCACCAGUCAGGAUUAUUUCUGCAUGUGGCAGGUGAAGAAGCAAGAGAGAAAUGUGGAGAACUGAAGACUGAGAAACUGAGAGAACUGAAACUGGCGGAUCUUCCCAUCCCUCUGCUGUCAAGAGAGUGACUGGAGAAAGUAUCCUCUGAUCUGGGCCAAUUAUGGGAAGGAGGCAAGGAAGGAAAGCAUCCCACCUCUGCCCCAGGCAACCUGAGGGCCAAAUGCGGGUGGUGGGCAGGGCCAGAAGCAAAUGUGUGCAGAGCGCCAAAUGUAAAUUGUGCCCUUGUACUAAUGGCUGGUCCCUCUGCCCACACCCAACACGUCCUUCUGUAUCCUCCAUCUGGGCAAGCAAGAGGCAUCCUUGGAGUUCCAAGACACUCAAAUUCUAGUCCUCAAGAAAGGAAUUCCCUUCCAAGACCGGUCGUCUUCUCCUGCCUUCUUCAAUCUAGCCUGACACACCCUCCCCAGAAUACCCCCAUUUUACACUCGCUGUCAGUGAGGAACUGCACCAUAAGAACAUAAGGAGAGCCUGCUGGAUUCGGCCCACAUCCCACCUAGCCCAGCACGAUGUUCUCUCACAGUGAUCAACCAGAUGCCUCCCUGGGAAACAUUUUAAAAAAAAAUCUCCAGUUUAAACCGCUGUUGAAACAGGAAAGGAUCCUCUCUCAAGAGAACCAUAGAACCUUGGGCUGCAUUUACACACAUCCUGUGUGGAAUCAUCUGAAGUCACUCUGGAUUUAUGGAGACUGGUCACGUGGCUGCGAUCAGAGAGGCAUAACAGUCUCAGAGAAGGCUACACUGCAGCAACGGCUCCUGGGAGCAGAUUGCAGAGGGGGUCCUCAUUAGAGCAACGGGGUGUCCAGGCCACCUAAGCCGUCACUACAGGGAAGGUUCCCAGAUGCUCUCUAUUGCAAGGGACACCCUCCCUUUGGAAAGGCAGCACCUCACUGCAGAAUGUUGUUUGGUGGUGCAUGUAUAGUUCCCUAGUUUCCUGAAUAGUAAGAAUACCAGAAGCAGUCACUACAGGGCUGUGAGGCUCAGGAGAGAGAGAGAGAGAGACAGAGAGAGCCGGGAGACUCACAGUGUUUUUGUGAUACCUGUCACCCAGUGAAGGAAAUAUUAAUAAAUUAAUCAUAUGUUUUAGUCAACGAAUCAAUAAGUUCUACGGUAUGAUCUGAAGGCAGUUGAGCAGGGCUGGUGCCAGGCAUGACUGGGCCCUUGGACACCAGUCUGCCCCGGGCCCACGGUGCCUGCACGCAUGCCCCACCUACUUCUCUGUCGCUUCAUGAGAAUACUCUGUCACUGUGCACACAGGGCUGCCGUCAACCAAGAUGGCAGCGGAGGCUUCCCUAAGGGGCUGAUGCCCCCGUCACCAUCUUAGUUGAUGGCACAUAUGCAUGUUAUGCUACGUGCGUGCACAUGCCUGCCAUCAAUCAGAAGUCGGAGCAGAGGAGAAGGCAGCCAGAGACAGUGGAGGCUAGCCCAUUAGGGCUAAUGGGGCAUGGCCCCACCCCUCUACCUCCAGCCAGCCCCCACCUGCCUGCCUGGAUAUGGAAAACGUGGAUUAUCCCGCUCCGUUUGGAUGAGCCCUCUGUCUGACUAAUUUACAGGGAAGGUAGAAUCUUAGCAAGGAUUCAAACACACACAUAAGCUCGCUCACAACUCUCCGACUCUCUGACAAGUAAAAUAAGAAAAGCUACUUUAUUUAUAGAAAUACAUAGUAGAUAGAAAGGGAAACCUAGUUCUAACUAACUAACUGAGGGUUCAUCCAAACGGAGCGGGAUAAUCCACAUUUUCCAUAUCUGGUUCGUCAUCUGACAUUCCUCACUUUGCCUGUUUGUUCGCUCUUUCACAAUAAAAAAACCCGCUUUUUUUGCUCCCACACACGCAGCGAGAGGACCCAUACUUCUUGCUUUUUCCCAGCUCCGCCCAUAACACUCCCCCUAUCAGCCAAUUGGUCCGCAAAAAUAUAACUUAUGUUCCUCUCCCCCUUUGCAACAAAGCUCAAGGCGCAUGCGCUUGAACGUACGAGCGCAAAAGUUUGAAUUUCCUGAUGGUUUGGUAGUAGUGGCUGUAAUGGAGUUCCUUGUCGUUCACCACUCUGGAGCAGGGCCAGCCUGGGGGGUGUCUCCAGGUGCCCCGACCAUCCAGGGGGAUUGUGGGCAGUGCAAGGGAUCAGCGCUUGUAAUCGCCAGGCAAAUCCCCCCGUAACCCUUGGGCUCAUUCACUGCAGGGUUCAGCCCUGGACCGUUAUGUGGCUCGGCAGCAGGAAUGCUGCCCCUGAGGGAAGCAAACAGCCUCCCCCCCCCACGAGUGGCCGCUCUUGGCUCAGGCAGGGAAUGCAGGCAAACAGCCCCGCGUGCUGCUAUGUCAAUCCAGGACAGGCUUUGCGGUGUUCCCUCUGAUAAAUGAAACAUGCAAACCACUUAUAUGCCUAUAAUUCCUGUAUUUUUAUUUGUUUGUAUUUGUGAUAUUUCGCAAAACUGACUGUAUGAUUUUCUACCUUUAACGUUUCUGGAGAUACACAUGAUUGCAAUUCCACUUAUUUCUCCAGAACAGCAAGUAAGGAUGUGUCAUGUCUAGGAAGGUAGACCACCAGUCUCUAUGGUUGCAGGUGGCUGAGAUGCUCUAGCAAACCACUUAUAGGCCAAUAAUUCCUGUGGGUUCUUUUGCUUGUAUU